UUUGCGACCGUAAUCUAGUG
This 20-nucleotide microRNA is filed under the name Panagrellus redivivus. RNAcentral's name for it is "prd-miR-7929-3p". Lineage: Eukaryota; Metazoa; Nematoda; Chromadorea; Rhabditida; Panagrolaimidae. The record is from miRBase by way of RNAcentral.